Molecule: ribosomal RNA, 253 nt
Filed under: uncultured bacterium
Lineage: Bacteria
Description: partial 16S ribosomal RNA
Rfam family: Bacterial small subunit ribosomal RNA
Source: RNAcentral
UACGUAGGGUGCGAGCGUUGUCCGGAAUUACUGGGCGUAAAGAGCUCGUAGGUGGUUUGUCGCGUUGUUCGUGAAAACUCACAGCUUAACUGUGGGCGUGCGGGCGAUACGGGCAGGCUAGAGUACUGCAGGGGAGACUGGAAUUCCUGGUGUAGCGGUGAAAUGCGCAGAUAUCAGGAGGAACACCAAUGGCGAAGGCAGCUCACUGGGACGGUAUUGACGCUGAGACGCGAAAGCGUGGGGAGCGAACAGG